GCCCCGCGGCAAGAUGGCGGUCUGAAGGCAGUGGGCAGCGGCAGAAACUGAAGACUCAGGGGCCCCAGGGAUUGGAAGAAAUCACAGUGCCUGCUUGGAAAGAAGAAGAGGUAGCGACUUGCCCCAGCUCAACCCCAGAGCGGGUAAGGUGGCCUCCGUUGACAGGCUGGCAUGCUCCCUGGAAGCAGGAUGCAUGGGCUCCGAGUGAUGCUGAAAAUCAUUUAUUUUGAGAAGGGCGCUCUUCUCUAGAGGCUGCCUUUUGCCUGUGGUCCCUAAGUUAGUCUUCUGCUUAGAUCUCACGCUGAUUUGUUGAGAGUUGGGUGUAGUACUGAGCCUUGUAUGCCUUCACCUGUGCAGGCGAACGUGGGCAAGAGCCUAGAGAUCAGACUGAAAAUAUUUUAACACAUCCCUGUCACAAGCAGUUUCCUUCACGGUCACUGUAUUUUCUUUGAUCUCCCCAUCACAUCUUCAGUUUGGUCUCCUGCCCAAAGUGGAGAUUUGUGGGUGACAGAUGGUGGGCAGCCAUAAGAAAACAAACUUCUGGUUGGUGUCCAUUAACCAUUUAGGCACCUGCUGUCACCGAUUCCUGAAUUCAUUCUUGCCACAUGUCUGCCUCUUUUGAUCUUUUCUUUUGGUAAGAAGGGCUCAUUUAUUUGGGCCCGUGUUAUUUGGGGAUGUGGAUUUGGUGCCUAGGUUGGGUCAGAGGAGUGAGGCAGGUAGGUUGGGAUUAGGGAGGAGAAACCCAGAUCAGUUUAUAGUAAGAGGUCAGGCUGACUGGUACAAAGCUCUGCACAUGUUUUUCACAUCAUUCUGUUCCUGAGACCCCUGAUAUUUGAGAGUUGCUUUACAACCUGGAGCAGUGUGAUGCAAGGAAAGGCUUGUAGAACUUGCCUUUUUCUCUUCUGGUAGUUUUUUUCUUCUUUCUUUAUAUCUUCCUAUCAAACGAC
RNAcentral lists this long non-coding RNA (947 nucleotides) under Bos mutus (wild yak). RNAcentral describes it as "lncRNA (ENSBMUG00000012232.1)". The record is from RNAcentral. Lineage: Eukaryota; Metazoa; Chordata; Mammalia; Artiodactyla; Bovidae.